GGCGCUCGGAGCGGCCCAAGGGUCGCGCCGGCGUGCCGGAAAGAUGACCAAACUUGAUCAUUUAGAGGAAGUAAAAGUCGUAACAAGGUUUUCGUAGGUGAACCUGCGAAAGGAUCAUUA
This 120-nucleotide ribosomal RNA is filed under the name Cybaeus koikei. RNAcentral describes it as "partial 18S ribosomal RNA". It matches the Rfam family "Eukaryotic small subunit ribosomal RNA", at positions 1717 to 1831 of the family's 1831-position model. Lineage: Eukaryota; Metazoa; Arthropoda; Arachnida; Araneae; Cybaeidae. The record is from RNAcentral.